Molecule: long non-coding RNA, 1113 nt
Organism: Cyprinus carpio carpio
Lineage: Eukaryota; Metazoa; Chordata; Actinopteri; Cypriniformes; Cyprinidae
Source: Ensembl
AUGGCAUCUCCCCCUGCACGGCCCCUGCUUUACCUAGUAGCGUGACCAUGAAGCAAUGCACGAGCAGAGAGAUCUCAACAUGCACAGAGUCAGUCUGCUGCUCAUCUCACCAGCGGGAGCGCGUACAGCGUGCACUUAAAGAAAAAAUAUCUGAUUCCCAUCAGCCACAUGCUUCUUUCAACCCCACAGCGCGUCUUUAUUCAUUCGGGAUUCCUUUAAAUGUUCAGAAGAAGCCACUGGAGACCUUCCUGUUCCCUUUUCCCAGCAGCUACUUGUUAAAGCUUCCAGCAACCAGCUGCACUUCAUGGCGAUAGAUAAAGAAAACCCCAUGCGCAAGGAGUUAAUAAGUCAAACAAAGGCAUAUGACUUCCAUAACUUCAUCGCUCAUUAACCGCUGAUGGUAGGACACAAUUGAGCGAGUGUUUGUGGAACUUGCCCUAGAUAUUCAGAUCUCAGUCCUUGGCUCUGGCUGUUGGGCAGAUCUUCUCCUGUUUCAGAUAUCUUCACCCUGCCUGACAACAGACCGUCAGGAGCUUCACAUGAGAGUCCCGUGUAAGGAGUGAACUAUGGGAGAGAAAGGCCAGUUAUGUCCAUUUAAAUCCCUUAACAAGCACCACAGCAAACAAAAGACAGAUUAGCAUGAUUUACCAUGACCGUAUUAUUAAAUUACCUCAUCUACACAUGAGCCAACAAUUGAGUUACUUUUAUAGAUGUGUGCAGACGGUAUUAUGCAGGCACUGUGUAGGCUAUUCUUUGUUCAUUAAUGGUUUGGUAAACCACAUUUUGUAAGGUCUUGAAUAGAGCUAGCACUGGUUAGACCCAAAAAUUGCACAUUCAGAGGUAUCUUUCAAAACCAAUAUUCCCUAUUAGCAUUAAAGCUAUGCAUGCUAGACAUUGUCUGGGUUUGACUGGGAUGGGAUCUCGUUUAAAAAGCAAUGCAUUUAUAAAAUAUAUUGAUUAUAUUAUGUUGUAUAUUUUAAAAUAACGCUGAUAACUCUCAAACAAUAAAGUGAAAACGAUCAAAAUCCUAUUGUUGUCUGUGGUUCGUGUGUAAAUAUGAACUGAUGGUAUAAUGCCACCUAGUGGUAUAUUUCAUGCAACCAGCAGCCCGAU